GCGCUUUUAGUUUCAUUCGGUAGAACGUGCAUCCCCAAAAUCCAAUAUCGUAGGUUCAAAUCCUACAGAGCGUA
Molecule: transfer RNA, 74 nt
Filed under: Gossypium hirsutum (cotton)
Lineage: Eukaryota; Viridiplantae; Streptophyta; Magnoliopsida; Malvales; Malvaceae
Also listed under: 1 other name
Rfam family: tRNA
About the family: Transfer RNA (tRNA) molecules are approximately 80 nucleotides in length. Their secondary structure includes four short double-helical elements and three loops (D, anti-codon, and T loops).
Source: Rfam by way of RNAcentral